Molecule: unclassified non-coding RNA, 1284 nt
Filed under: Hevea brasiliensis (rubber tree)
Lineage: Eukaryota; Viridiplantae; Streptophyta; Magnoliopsida; Malpighiales; Euphorbiaceae
Source: RNAcentral
CAAAAUGUCUUCUACCUUCAUUUCCUUAAACACCUUAUCAAAUGCCCACCUUGGAAAGUACCAAUCCUCACUCUCUAUCAAAGAACCUUGCGUCUCAAAAUUCCUAGACCCAGUUACAAUUUCUAAUAACACCAUUCCAAAACUAUAUACAUCAGCUUUAGGGGUGAUCGGAUCGCUUCUGACCCAUUCCGGUGCCAUGUAUCCACGGGUGCCCCGGAUCCGAGACAUACUUACCAUAUCUUCUUUCUUCCUCAACUUAGCUAAUCCAAAAUCUGAAAUUUUUGGACAAAAAUCAUCACCCAAGAGUAUAUUUUCGGGUUUGAUAUCACAGUGCAAAACCCACUCCAAACACUCUUCAUGUAAGUAUGCAAUUGCUCUGGCCACACCAAGUGCAAUCCGGUAUCUGAUUCCCCAAUCAAGUAUAGGUUUCCGGCCGUCAAAAGCUACAAGACCCAUCUCCAUCUCGGAUCCUGAAGAUGCAACCUGACCCGCAGGAAAAAGGUACUUAUCCAGAGAUCCAUGAGGCACAUACUCAUAAACUAAAAUCCUUUGCCCUUUCUCAGCACAAAAGCCCCAUAAUCUGACCAAAUUGAGAUGGUGCAUCCUGGCAAUGAUAGUAACCUCUGCCCAGAACUCACCGUCGCCUCCGGUGACAUGUUUCAAGCACUUAAUGGCAACAAUUCGCUUAUCAGGCAGCUCUCCUCUGUAAACAUCACCGAAUCCACCUCUCCCAAUGGCAUUAGCAUUGGAGAAAUCAUGCGUUGCUGCUUUGAGCUCUGCAUAUGUGAACCUUUUAGGCCCCCCAGCGGGCAGGAAUUCCAGGCCUAAAGUCCGUGCCAUGUCUCUGUACUUGAUGUACUUCUUCAAAAAGGCCCAAAAGAACAGAAUCCCAGAAAUAAGCUCUGCGGCAAAUAAUGUACAGAUUAUUGCAAUAUUUCUUGUCGUAGUAUUCGAUUCUUCAGGUGGGAAAGGGAGGCUGAUUCGAACAGGACAUGUCGUCUCCAACACACUAGUCAUACCAGUGAAAUUAGAUUGAUCUUGUUCGGAAAUAUCCACACGCAAGAACAAACAUGGCGGUUUCCGUGCCUGGAGACCAGUACCCAUAUAGAAGUCGUUCAAGCUGAAGCACACAGUACCCUUGGCCAUCAUACUUGAACAUAAAACCUUGACAAUUCUCCUUGUUCAAGCAGCUUGCAGCUUGCUUCACAAGUAGAGACGUUUCUGACAUUCAGGUUACUCUGAUUUAAUCCACCAGUGAAAUUGACAUAAUCGAGCCGAAGAAAC